RNAcentral lists this transfer RNA (72 nucleotides) under Salipiger mucosus DSM 16094. It matches the Rfam family "tRNA". Rfam says of the family: Transfer RNA (tRNA) molecules are approximately 80 nucleotides in length. Their secondary structure includes four short double-helical elements and three loops (D, anti-codon, and T loops). Lineage: Bacteria; Pseudomonadati; Pseudomonadota; Alphaproteobacteria; Rhodobacterales; Roseobacteraceae. The record is from Rfam by way of RNAcentral.
GGCCUCAUCGUAUAGCGGUAAUUACUCCCGACUGUCUCUCGGGCAACACGGGUUCGAGUCCCGUUGAGGUCG